CACAUGGGUGAGGUUUAAAGAGUGUGCUGAUAGAGGCGGGUGGAAAAAUAAAAACUAUUAAAGCACAGACAAAUUGGAGCAUGUCUGAGGAUUAGGGUCUCUCAUCCUGCUUUUUCGUGAGAGGUGAGUUUGGAGCCAGCUCAGCGAUAAAAAAUACUGCACUGAAACUGCUACGUCAUGAUUUGGUGCCAGGCAGUCAAGCAACCUCAUUGCAAGCUGCGCCAGCUUGGUGAGUAUUUGGCUGAACUCUGUUAGGGAUACGGAACGGUGACGAGGGGAAACAAAACAUUUGCGACCCUAAAGCCUCUGAAAGAGCACCAAGAUGAAAGUGGUACCACCUCCAUGGCCGACAGGCCAGCACCGCAGGUUUGAAGCUGAAAAUUUGCCAUCUCCAAACCACAUGACCCAGCGGGUACCGUCAGCGGCUCGACUACGGCCACUCAUCCACCAGGAAACAAUCCUGCCGGGCCACCAGGAGAAUCCUCGCAGCUUCCCAAACACCAGCGUACCGAUGCCAAAGCCCCUACCAUCCUGUGGUAGACAUCCAUCAAGAACAUGGAAAUAUAUUAUAUCGUGCAUUUUAUUCUCAGGCUUUUAGAAACUACAGUAGAAGCAGAAAAUUACAUUAAAAAUGUAACUUUUGAUGUUGUCUGCUUUUUUUUUUAAUGCCUACCCUUCAAAGACUUUAAAGUCUUCAAAGACAUAGAAGUAUUAAAUUAUGGCAAAGAUGAAAAUGUGGUGAAAACUAUAUACCAGGGCUAUUUAACUUCAGUGUCUUAGAGGCCACAUUUCCAGAAAGCUAAGGACUAGGCAGCCUGUUUUCUCCCUUUGCUAAAAGUCUU
Nerophis ophidion (straightnose pipefish) is the source of this 842-nucleotide long non-coding RNA. RefSeq lists it as uncharacterized. The record is from RefSeq and is a predicted model, not a curated record. NCBI's taxonomy places the organism in Eukaryota, Metazoa, Chordata, Actinopteri, Syngnathiformes, Syngnathidae. The transcript has 3 exons.